Molecule: transfer RNA, 73 nt
Filed under: Candidatus Nanopusillus sp.
Lineage: Archaea; Nanobdellati; Nanobdellota; Candidatus Nanoarchaeia; Nanoarchaeales; Nanopusillaceae
Description: tRNA-Met
Rfam family: tRNA
About the family: Transfer RNA (tRNA) molecules are approximately 80 nucleotides in length. Their secondary structure includes four short double-helical elements and three loops (D, anti-codon, and T loops).
Source: RNAcentral
GCCGCCGUAGCUCAGCGGUUAGAGCGCCCGGCUCAUAACCGGGAGGUCGCGGGUUCGAAUCCCGCCGGCGGCA